Molecule: long non-coding RNA, 389 nt
Organism: Mastomys coucha (southern multimammate mouse)
Lineage: Eukaryota; Metazoa; Chordata; Mammalia; Rodentia; Muridae
Exons: 3
Source: RefSeq, a predicted model, not a curated record
GGUCUUGAUGCCAACACACCUCCCUUCUUAUUAUAAAGAGAAAGAAAGAAAAGGGAGGAGGAAGCCGAUGGUGAAAAGGGAACAAGGAUUCAUUGAUGUAGAAAUAACACUAUUCUUGGAGGAACAGGAAAAGGCUACCUUCUUUAGCUCUCAGGACAUCCAGCCUCUGUCAGUUCUGAAGCACCAUGGUUACCAAAGAAUCAAUCUGAUUCUGAAUAGACAGCCAGACUGGAUCUCCUGACUGCUUGUUUAUGCUGUGCUGGGGGUUGCCUGAGGUCAGCACACAAGCACAUGCUACCAGCUGCAACCCAAACCAGGGACACAGAGGAUCAUGCUGGUCCUUCUACACUCAGUCCCUUCCUGUGAAUAAAGAAUUGUGGAGAUAAAGG